GAUGAACGCUGGCGGCGUGCUUAACACAUGCAAGUCGAACGAGAAGUGAAGACGGAAACCUUCGGGCGGAAGGCUUUAUUUCGAGUGGCGGACGGGUGAGUAACGCGUGGGUAACCUGCCUCAUACAGGGGGAUAACAGUUGGAAACGACUGUUAAUACCGCAUAAGACCACAGCACCGCAUGGUGCGGGGGUAAAAACUCCGGUGGUAUGAGAUGGACCCGCGUUCGAUUAGCCAGUUGGCGGGGUAACGGCCCACCAAAGCGACGAUCGAUAGCCGAGCAGAGAGGAUGGCCGGCCACAUUGGGACUGAGACACGGCCCAAAAUCCUACGGGAGGCAGCAGUGGGGGAUAGUGCACAAUGGGGGAAACCCUGAUGCAGCGACGCCGCGUGAGUGAAGAAGUAUUUCGGUAUGUAAAGCUCUAUCAGCAGGGAAGAAAAUGACGGUACCUGAGUAAGAAGCCCCGGCUAACUACGUG
RNAcentral lists this ribosomal RNA (478 nucleotides) under uncultured bacterium. Its description in RNAcentral is "partial 16S ribosomal RNA". It matches the Rfam family "Bacterial small subunit ribosomal RNA", at positions 28 to 507 of the family's 1533-position model. The record is from RNAcentral.